UGUCAGUCUCGAGCUGAGCACCUGACGAGGUGGUUCAUUGAAGUCCAUAAAGUAUCAACGUUUUUUGUUAGAUCAAGCGCGACUCUAGAAACAGUCUCAUCUUGUAUUUUUUUUUUUCCUGUUUGAGUUCGCGAGUUUAUCAAGAGAAGAAAUGACAAUUUAUGGACUUUUAGUGCAAAUCAUUAUCGUUUGUAACUAGCUGGCAGGCUGAAAAUAUCCCCGGAGCAGAUCCAGCAGCAAUGGCACCGCCCCAAGAACAGCCUGAGGAUGAUUUUAGCACCAAGAUACCUUCGAUAAUUGGAUUCCUGAACCUGGACUGACUGGCAACACGAAAUGGAACCCCAAGCCCCCCACCCCACUCCAUUGGACGAAAGUGCUGACCCAGAGAGAGGCCAAGGCUGAAGAGCUCUGCAGUGACUGAUGAGAAAUAUAGAAAUAUAAGUUAGAGCCGAAAACCGAUCAAAUAAACCGACAAUGUGAAUCAUA
Drosophila miranda is the source of this 486-nucleotide long non-coding RNA. RefSeq lists it as uncharacterized. NCBI's taxonomy places the organism in Eukaryota, Metazoa, Arthropoda, Insecta, Diptera, Drosophilidae. The record is from RefSeq and is a predicted model, not a curated record. The transcript has 2 exons.